Long non-coding RNA from Chelonia mydas (Green sea turtle), 88 nucleotides. RefSeq lists it as uncharacterized. NCBI's taxonomy places the organism in Eukaryota, Metazoa, Chordata, Testudines, Cheloniidae. The transcript is spliced from 3 exons. The record is from RefSeq and is a predicted model, not a curated record.
UGCAGUUCCACUGUCUGGACUUUUUAUGGCCCAGUCAGCGGUGCUGACUGAAGCCGCCAGGGUCCCGUUUCGACCGGGUAUUCUGGUC